Non-coding RNA from Equus caballus (horse), 3395 nucleotides. The record is from RefSeq and is a predicted model, not a curated record. Lineage: Eukaryota; Metazoa; Chordata; Mammalia; Perissodactyla; Equidae.
ACCUCCUGCAGGGCGGAGGAUAAGGCUCCUUCCAGGAGGGGCCCAUCUCGCCUGGCUUUCUGCAGCGCCCAGGCCCUCAGAUCACAGACGUUUUGAUGAGGCCUCAGUGGCAGUGUAAGUUCAGAUCUUCAGGUAGAUCCCGGUUCUAACUCGUUUAUUUAUUCAUUCAACAAACACUCACCACUUACUGUGUGCCAAGUACUGCCCCAAGUAUUGGUAUAAGAAGAUGAGUAUGACACAGUGCCAGCCGCCAAGGAGCUCACCAUCUACCUGGGGAGACAAAUAGGGUACCAUGCACAAGGUAAGUGCAAUACCAGAAGUAUGCACAGGAGAAGCCUCUAAUACACACUUCAAGGUUCAGCAAAUACUUCCUGGAGUUGUUGGUGCCUGAGCUAAAUUCUAGAGAAAUAGAAGCUUGUCAGGUUAAGUGGAGAUUAUUGUUGGGUGGGGUGCUUGGAGGGCAGGGCAGGUAUUCCUGGUGAAGAAGAGAAAGAGUACAGUGCACUCAGAGAACUCUGCAGCUCCUGGCUUCUGAACUCAGAUUCCAAAGAAAAGGGAGAUCUUGAGUAGGAGUUUGGAAAAAGAGAGAAAACUCAAUUGGUAGGAUGAAAUUUCUUUCCUGAACGGGCCCUCGAAGGCAAAAGCAACAAAAUUAUAUAAGGGGCACAGCAAAUGAAUUGGAGUGGAGAGGCCUUGGCCAGAUCAGCGGGUGGAAAAGGGUGGAAGGGUUUGUGAUCUGCUCCCUUUCUCAGAUCCUUCCCUGUGGGUUAUAGGAGAACAUUUACAUCUCCCAAACAUAUAUUUGCUGAAAAAAAGCAUUAGAAUAAAGGGAAUAAGAAAACAGGACAUCAAAUGAAACUAGGUCAUUGAUGAGCAUGCAGUGCAUGUGGGUUGAGUGUGAGCAUGUCAUCUCCCAGAGGGCAGAAUGUUGAGAUGUGUGUCAGAAGCAGAGGCCCCUAUGGUGUGUGAAGCCAAUAUGAAUCUAAUAAUUUUCUCAGCUAUCUGCUCACUGCCCAGAGAGGACAUGGUGAGCAUCACCUGGGAAAAAGGCUCCUGGCACUGUAGGGGUUAGAUGGGCAUCUCAAAACCAGCAGGGAUUUCUUUUCUGAUACAUUUCCUGUUAUAAUUCAGCAUUAGUUAGGGUUCUUGGUUGUAAAGAAAAGAAACCAACUUGAUUAACUUAAGCAGAAAAUGAAUUUAUUGGAAGGGUAUUUGGUAGCUGUUGAAAUCUAUGGGAAGAUUAGUGAGUCAGUCUUGGGCACACACCAACGGAGACAAGGCUCUGCCAAAAUCCUACCAUGGGAGGAGCCGUGGGCUUAGGAUGCUGCUUCUGAUGUCACGCUUUUGGACACUACUGCCCCUAGAAAUGGGCCAUCACAAGAAGGGCCUCUUCGUAAUCUCUAACUGAUCCUUGGCUUUUAACUCAGACUUAAACUUUGUGUGGAAGCCUCUGAUUUGGCACACUUAGGUCAUUUACCCUUUGUCUAGCUACCAGGGAACAGGAACUAAGAAGCCCCUUUAGCUUCCAUAAGAAGGAGGCCUGUCUUCUGCCUAACUUGGAAUUCCUUCCCCCAGUAGGAGAGCGUUUGGAUGCUGGGUGGCCCCAAAUGACAAAUAUCUACCAUGUUCUUUGACAUUCCAGGCCUAGCUUUCAAAGACUCUUGCUCUCCAAAGCUGCUCUCCUCUGUUUUGUAGCAAUUCUGAGGUCUGAGGGACUAAGGAGUUUUCUCGGUCACUCUUGGGAGUGCCCGUCUCUUGAAUUCUUGAUUGGUCUCUUCCAGCUCCUUCCCUGAAGAUUGGAUACCAUUUCUCUUUGAGUGAAAAGAGAUACAACUGCCUAACUAUAAACAGGAUUCUCUCUUCUUCCAAGAGAUGUCUACCAACGGCCUCUCCCUCCCCUAUACUGCGUACAUCAGAGACCUUCAGCCCUUGAUUGUGGAUCGCCUGAUGUCUUCUCUGCUGCCUCCUUCUGUACUUGUGGCACCUACUGGCAGUUUUGGUUUGUGGAGGACACACGUGGGACCUCUCUCUCACACUCUCCUGGGGGUGGAAAUGGCAGAUCCCCUCCUGGGCAGGGUGGCCCCAUUGAGGUUGAUUCUGGGGUGAGAGCCAACUUCUCUGCCUGCUGCGUAUAACUCCAACUCCGGGUCCAAAUUGGGCACAUUAUUUUGGGUACCAGGAGAACAUUCGUUGACGUGUGCCGUUCCACUAGGCAUCUCUGGGCACUUUUUCUCCAGAAGAGUAGCACUAAAUUAAAAUUCUAACUCAAGUUUACAGGCUGAUGAGUAGGAAGGCUGGGGGAGCAGGAAAGGGAGCCGAGCAGAGGGCAGACGGCAGAUGGUGUUGCGCGGCCACCUUGAUUGGUUUGGCCACAAGACAAUGCGGAAGGAUGAUUUACUAGGUGCUUCCUUCACCUUGCAUGGAUGAUACAGGCAGAUGAUGGAAUGUACUUUUGCUUUUUUUUUUCUGUAACAGAAUGCCUUUGGCAGGGAUACUUCCCAGUUAUUAAAAAUGGGGCAAUGAGGUGAGCUCUAAAUGCAAACCCCGUGUAGGAAAAUCCAGAAGAAAUAAGGAUAAGAAGAUGGAGAAAGGAAAGAUUAAAAGUCAGUGAAGAGAAGAAUAAAGAAAGAUUGUUGCAAUGGGAUGGGAAAGAUGGGAAGUUCAGAAAAGUGACAAAACACCAGUGAGGGAAUCAGAGAAAGCACAGGAGUGACCUUGCUCUCUGGUCCCCCUCCCCCGAAAAAGAGAGGCGGUUGGGGGAGGGGUGAUGGGGAGAUGAAAUUUUAUAGGUCAAUGGAAGAAACAGCAAGAAUGAGAAAAAGGAGUUUAGGGAUUUUAGGUCAUUGGACACCCCUGAAGCUGUGGGUAAUGUGCAUUUCAGAAAGAUUUGGGCAAAUUUCCGCAGAACUAAUUCAGAGAACAUGAUAUAGUGUGUCUUGACUCUUUGUAGAGGGACAUGCUCUGUAGGACCAGAGAAACACACACAGCUGAGUCUUUACAACCAUAUCCGGUUUCCAUGUGGUUCUCUUUCUUUUCUGGUUCCCAUAACACUUGUCUGGGUUCAAAUAUAUUUAGCUUUUGAUUCUAUUCAGCAUAGGGAAUUGCUUCUAUUAUUCACUCAGUUCGUUUUAGUUAUAUUUUCUCAUUCCUCACAAGGCUGUGAGAUUCUUAGGGACAAGGGGAGUGCUUUUUUUUUCUUUUGUAUUAUUCAAAGCCUUGUAGUGUGGUGAGCAAAUGGUAGGUGUAGAGGGACAGGGGUGCAAAUGGUGACUUCAAAGGAGAAAACCAGUUUGCCUGCCUGCCUUCUUUCCCUCCUUCCUUCUUUCCUCCUUCUUUCCAUCCUUUCUUCUUUCCUUUCUCCCUUCUUGUCUCCUUCCUUCCAAUAUUUAUCAAAA